UACGUAGGGGGCUAGCGUUGUCCGGAAUCAUUGGGCGUAAAGCGCGUGUAGGCGGUCCGGUAAGUCCGCUGUGAAAGUCGAGGGCUCAACCCUCGAAUGCCGGUGGAUACUGUCGGGCUUGAGUACGGGAGAGGCGAGUGGAAUUCCUGGUGUAGCGGUGAAAUGCGCAGAUAUCAGGAGGAACACCGAUUGCGAAGGCAGCUCGCUGGAACGUUACUGACGCUGAGACGCGAAAGCGGGGGGAGCAAACAGG
RNAcentral lists this ribosomal RNA (253 nucleotides) under uncultured bacterium. RNAcentral's name for it is "partial 16S ribosomal RNA". It matches the Rfam family "Bacterial small subunit ribosomal RNA", at positions 524 to 776 of the family's 1533-position model. The record is from RNAcentral.